Molecule: ribosomal RNA, 328 nt
Filed under: uncultured eukaryote
Lineage: Eukaryota
Description: partial 18S ribosomal RNA
Rfam family: Eukaryotic small subunit ribosomal RNA
Source: RNAcentral
CCCUUAGAUGUCCGGGGCUGCACGCGCGCUACACUGAAGGAAUCAGCGUGCUAAAACCAUUGUCGAAAGGCAUUGGUAAACCCAUUAAAAUCCUACGUGAUUGGGAUCGGGAAUUGCAAUUAUUUCCCUUGAACGAGGAAUUCCCAGUAAGUGUGGGUCAUAAGCUCGCGUUGAUUACGUCCCUGCCCUUUGUACACACCGCCCGUCGCUGCCCGGGACUGAGCCGUUUCGAGAAAAGCGGGGACUGCUGCGGUCGGGGCUUUCGGGCCUUGGCUUCGGUGGAAACCGCUUUAAUCGCAGUGGCUUGAACCGGGCAAAANUCGUAACA